UACGAAGGGGGCUAGCGUUGCUCGGAAUUACUGGGCGUAAAGCGCACGUAGGCGGCUUUCUAAGUCGGGGGUGAAAUCCUGGAGCUCAACUCCAGAACUGCCUUCGAUACUGGAGAGCUCGAGUACGGGAGAGGUGAGUGGAACUGCGAGUGUAGAGGUGAAAUUCGUAGAUAUUCGCAAGAACACCAGUGGCGAAGGCGGCUCACUGGCCCGGUACUGACGCUGAGGUGCGAAAGCGUGGGGAGCAAACAGG
RNAcentral lists this ribosomal RNA (253 nucleotides) under uncultured bacterium. Its description in RNAcentral is "partial 16S ribosomal RNA". It matches the Rfam family "Bacterial small subunit ribosomal RNA", at positions 524 to 776 of the family's 1533-position model. The record is from RNAcentral.